Molecule: ribosomal RNA, 433 nt
Filed under: uncultured bacterium
Lineage: Bacteria
Description: partial 16S ribosomal RNA
Rfam family: Bacterial small subunit ribosomal RNA
Source: RNAcentral
AACGAACGCUGGCGGCAUGCCUAACACAUGCAAGUCGAACGAGACCUUCGGGUCUAGUGGCGCACGGGUGCGUAACGCGUGGGAACCUGCCCUUAGGUUCGGAAUAACUCCCCGAAAGGGGUGCUAAUACCGGAUAAUGUCUUCGGACCAAAGAGUUAUGGCCUUUGGAUGGGCCCGCGUUGGAUUAGCUAGUUGGUAGGGUAAAAGCCUACCAAGGCGACGUUCCAUAGCUGGUCUGAGAGGAUGAUCAGCCACGAUGGGACUGAGACACGGCCCAGACUCCGACGGGAGGCAGCAGUGGGGAAUAUUGGACAAUGGGCGAAAGCCUGAUCCAGCAAUGCCGCGGGAGUGAUGAAGGCCUUAGGGUUGUAAAGCUCUUUUACCCGGGAUGAGAAUGACAGUACCGGGUGAAUAAGCUCCGGCUAACUCCGUG